AGUUGAUAGUUGAAAAAAAAAACAAAACAGAAACAAAAAACCAGAGAAGCAUAGGUUUUGUGAUGUCCCAUGAGUACAGAAUUCUUUUGGAAUCACAAUGCAUGAAGUUCAGUAAGACUUAAACAAAAUGAUUCAUUUGGAUUUUGGAGGGAUUAGGAUGACACAAAUUUGGGGAUCCUGGAAAUGGGAACCAAGAGUAAGGGGAGCUGGAAUUUCUGGUUUGAGAAUCAAUUAGGAGGUUGGGGCUACAUGGAGAGAGGACUUCUAGACAGUCCUCUGAAG
Lutra lutra (Eurasian river otter) is the source of this 282-nucleotide long non-coding RNA. RefSeq lists it as uncharacterized. The record is from RefSeq and is a predicted model, not a curated record. Lineage: Eukaryota; Metazoa; Chordata; Mammalia; Carnivora; Mustelidae. The transcript is spliced from 3 exons.